CAAGCCGAAGACGGGUAGCGGGUGUGAGAGCAUGGCCCGCAGCAUCGAGACUGAGACACUGCUCGGACUCCUACGGGAGGCUGCAGUAACGAAUCUUCCGCAAUGCGCGAAAGCGUGACGGAGCAAUGCCGCGUGUGGGAUGAAGCGGUUUUCCGUGUAAACCACUGUCAGGGUCCAGGAAGAACUGACCGGACCCAAAGGAAGGGGCGGCUAACCUCGUGCCAGCAGCCGCGGUAAUACGUAGGGUGCGAGCGUUAAUCGGAAUUACUGGGCGUAAAGCGCACGUAGGCGGAUUGCUAAGUCAGGGGUGAAAUCCCGGGGCUCAACCUCGGAACUGCCUUUGAUACUGACAAUCUCGAGUCCGGAAGAGGUGGGUGGAAUUCCUAGUGUAGAGGUGAAAUUCGUAGAUAUUAGGAAGAACACCGGUGGCGAAGGCGGCCCACUGGUCCGGUACUGACGCUGAGGUGCGAAAGCGUGGGGAGCAAACAGGAUUAGAUACC
RNAcentral lists this ribosomal RNA (500 nucleotides) under uncultured bacterium. RNAcentral's name for it is "bacterial SSU rRNA". It matches the Rfam family "Bacterial small subunit ribosomal RNA", at positions 269 to 786 of the family's 1533-position model. The record is from RNAcentral.